Molecule: non-coding RNA, 27 nt
Filed under: Rattus norvegicus (Norway rat)
Lineage: Eukaryota; Metazoa; Chordata; Mammalia; Rodentia; Muridae
Source: RNAcentral
UCUGCCAUUUUGGACACCCCAGGCCUC